UUCAAACUUACUAAAUGGAUUAGUCAACUCAGCUGUGAAUUCAGAAUGGGCUGUCCUUUGGAAAACGUCUACUGUGAUUGGUAGAUGGAAGAACUUAGGGGAGGUGGUAUAGGAGAAAACCCCCUAUAUAAGAAAAAGAGAUCCCUUGAGAAGGAGCUCUUGAGAGACAGGCUCUAAGGAGGAUCUCUUGAGAAGAAUCUCUCUCUGGAGAAGGAUGGCUGGCUGAACUGGUAUCUAUAUUCUUGUUUGGACAGAUCUUGUGGAAUCUACCACUUAGCUUCAAAAGAGGGUUUUCUAACUUUCCUCACCUGGCAGACUGAAACGAGAGGGGCCUCAAGGACAUGGCUGGAAGAGGCCAGUUGAUGGCAGCUGUUCCUAAGUUCACUGCCAGAAGAAUGAAUGGAUUUAGAAGCACUCUUCAUUUAAUUGUCUUCACAACCCUCACCCUUUCCUCUAGUAAUCCUUUUUAUAGUUAUAUGACAUUUGCUAUUUUCCAAAGUGUUUCCAUACUCAUUAUUUAAUUUGAUUCUCAUGUUUAUUUUUUAAAUGAUACAAAUAUUAACUUUAUCCUCAUAAAAAUCCUGUACUGCAUAUAUUAUGAAUACCCCAAUUUUACAGAUGAGGAAAUUGAGGCAGGCAAAAGUUAAGUGACUUGUGCAAUCACACAGAUAAUAUGUGUCUGAGCUAGUAUUUGAACUCAGGUCUUCCUGACUCCAUUGGAAGGAUUCUCUCCAUUGCACUGGUAAAAACAUACAUUUGUUCAUUUAAAUCCCACCAGAAUCCUAUGAGUUUGAUAGUGCAAGUAUUUUUAGGAAAUAACUUGGCUAUGGUCACAUAGCCAGAAAGUAUCUUAGGUGGAUUUAAGGUCUGAUCUCACCUAAUUCCCAGGCCAGGAAGGCCUCUUUCUCCAAAACACACUUCUUUUCUCUUCCUCUCUCCUCUAAGACUCAUGCCUCUUCAAAGUUUCUAUUUCUGGUCAUGCAACUACCCUUCUCCUGAGCUCUAAAACUCCAGUUAUCUGAAUGCAGACCCAGAAAAGAGUCAAAGUCUAAAGCCAGGCUCCCCAAGUCCCCAUCUUCCUAUUCCAAAUCACCGAUGGACACUCCUUGUUCCCUUACUAUGGGUUUUAUGUCACCCAAUCAACUGGUUAAUUGGAUCAAAAUAAGUUAAAGGUUGAAAAUUAGUUCCAUGUGAAAUUGGAGACAUAUUUCAUGACAUGCCAGUGUCCCUCUUAAUGAUUAUUCUGCAUGGGAUACACCACACAGGAAGUCAUUCUCAGAACAGGAAUCAGGAAUUGGCUGUAUUCCUGGAGCAAAGCAGGUAGGGGGUGGCUUCCUGACAUUGGAGAGACUGAAUGGAGAACCCACCACAAACCUUUCAUGAUCAGCCAUUAAAUUGUAGACGAUUUCUGUGAGUUCCAUCAUGAGAUGCAUUUUCUUAAACCCAUCCCUGAAAUGUGCAAGUGGCUUACAUUACAUCCAUAAAGUCCCCUACCAUUUCACCAGCAUAUCAUGAAGAUGAAGCAGUCCCUUAUCCGGCUCCAUUGACACACAAAGGAAGGAAUUCUCUCCUUAGCCACUAGGUACACUUGUGCUGCAUAGAUAAGCUUGGGAUAUGUCUAGACUUUGGGAGCACAGGGUGGCUUGGAUACAGUGGGAACCUGAGAUCAUAAUCUAGUGGAAUAGUGGAUAGAGAACUCAUUCUUGAGUUAGGAAGAUUCAUUUCUGUGAGUUCAAAUCUGCCCUGAGAUAUGUCCUAGCUGUAUGACCUUGAACAAGUCACUUAACCUUGUUUGCCUCAGUUUCCUCAUCUGUAAAAUGAAUUAGAGAAGAAAAUGGAAAACUACUCCAGCAUCUCUGCUAAUAAAACUUCAGAUGGGGUCA
Molecule: long non-coding RNA, 1883 nt
Organism: Monodelphis domestica (gray short-tailed opossum)
Lineage: Eukaryota; Metazoa; Chordata; Mammalia; Didelphimorphia; Didelphidae
Source: Ensembl